UGCAGUGAGAUGCUCAUCUUUGCAGUCUGGU
Molecule: non-coding RNA, 31 nt
Filed under: Mus musculus (house mouse)
Lineage: Eukaryota; Metazoa; Chordata; Mammalia; Rodentia; Muridae
Source: RNAcentral